GAUGAACGCUAGCGGGAGGCUUAACACAUGCAAGUCGAGGGGCAGCACGGGGUAGCAAUACUCUGGUGGCGACCGGCAAACGGGUGAGUAACGCGUAUGUAACCUACCCUGUACAGGGGGAUAACCCGGAGAAAUUCGGACUAAUAUCCCAUAACAAUAUUCAGAGGCAUCUUUGGAUAUUUAAAGUUCCGGCGGUACGGGAUGGGCGUGCGUAACAUUAGCUAGUUGGUAAGGUAACGGCCUACCAAGGCUUUGAUGUUUAGGGGUCCUGAGAGGGUGGUCCCCCACACUGGUACUGAGACACGGACCAGACUCCUACGGGAGGCAGCAGUGAGGAAUAUUGGUCAAUGGGCGCAAGCCUGAACCAGCCAUCCCGCGUGCAGGAAGACGGCGCUAUGCGUUGUAAACUGCUUUUCCAGGGAGAGAAACUUGCGCACGUGUUGCGCAAUUGACGGUACCCUGGGAAUAAGCAUCGGCUAACUCCGUG
Molecule: ribosomal RNA, 487 nt
Filed under: uncultured bacterium
Lineage: Bacteria
Description: bacterial SSU rRNA
Rfam family: Bacterial small subunit ribosomal RNA
Source: RNAcentral